GACGAACGCUGGCGGCGUGCUUAACACAUGCAAGUCGAACGGAAAGGCCCUGCUUUUGUGGGGUGCUCGAGUGGCGAACGGGUGAGUAACACGUGAGUAACCUGCCCUUGACUUUGGGAUAACUUCAGGAAGCUGGGGCUAAUACCGGAUAGGAGCUCCUGCUGCAUGGUGGGGGUUGGAAAGUUUCGGCGGUUGGGGAUGGACUCGCGGCUUAUCAGCUUGUUGGUGGGGUAGUGGCUUACCAAGGCUUCGACGGGUAGCCGGCCUGAGAGGGUGACCGGCCACAUUGGGACUGAGAUACGGCCCAGACUCCUACGGGAGGCAGCAGUGGGGAAUAUUGCACAAUGGGCGGAAGCCUGAUGCAGCAACGCCGCGUGCGGGAUGACGGCCUUCGGGUUGUAAACCGCUUUCGCCUGUGACGAAGCGUGAGUGACGGUAAUGGGUAAAGAAGCACCGGCUAACUACGUG
This 468-nucleotide ribosomal RNA is filed under the name uncultured bacterium. Its description in RNAcentral is "partial 16S ribosomal RNA". It matches the Rfam family "Bacterial small subunit ribosomal RNA", at positions 28 to 507 of the family's 1533-position model. The record is from RNAcentral.